UGAGCAAUCUGCCCUUCUCAUCGGAAUAAGCGUUGGAAACGACGUCUAAUGCCGGAUACGACCUCCUUUCGCAUGAUCGGAGGUGGAAAGCUCCGGCGGAGAAGGAUGAGCUCGCGGCCUAUCAGCUAGUUGGUGUGGGUAGUGGCCCACCAAGGCGACGACGGGUAGCCGGCCUGAGAGGGUGACCGGCCACACGUGGGACUGAGACACGGCCCAGACCUCCGUACGGGAGCAG
RNAcentral lists this ribosomal RNA (235 nucleotides) under uncultured bacterium. RNAcentral's name for it is "partial 16S ribosomal RNA". It matches the Rfam family "Bacterial small subunit ribosomal RNA", at positions 118 to 347 of the family's 1533-position model. The record is from RNAcentral.